RNAcentral lists this unclassified non-coding RNA (350 nucleotides) under soil metagenome. Its description in RNAcentral is "partial contains 5.8S ribosomal RNA, internal transcribed spacer 2, and large subunit ribosomal RNA". The stretch from base 1 to 120 matches the Rfam family "5.8S ribosomal RNA", at positions 35 to 154 of the family's 154-position model. The record is from RNAcentral.
GAUGAAGAACGCAGCGAACUGCGAUAAGUAAUGUGAAUUGCAGAAUUCAGUGAAUCAUCGAGUCUUUGAACGCACAUUGCGCCCCCUGGCAUUCCGGGGGGCAUGCCUGUCCGAGCGUCAUUGCUGCCCUUCAAGCCCGGCUUGUGUGUUGGGUCGUCGUCCCCCCCGGGGGACGGGCCCGAAAGGCAGCGGCGGCACCGCGUCCGGACCUCGAGCGUAUGGGGCUUUGUCACCCGCUCGAUUAGGGCCGGCCGGGCGCCAGCCGGCGUCUCCAACCUUCUAUUUUACCAGGUUGACCUCGGAUCAGGUAGGGAUACCCGCUGAACUUAAGCAUAUCAAUAAGCGGAGGA